Molecule: ribosomal RNA, 254 nt
Filed under: uncultured bacterium
Lineage: Bacteria
Description: partial 16S ribosomal RNA
Rfam family: Bacterial small subunit ribosomal RNA
Source: RNAcentral
GACGAACCGUGCAAACGUUGUUCGGAAUCACUGGGCGUAAAGGGCGCGUAGGCGGUCAGACUAAGUCUAAUGUGAAAUACCAAGGCUUAACCUUGGCAGGUCGUUAGAUACUGGUCGGCUAGAGUGUGGAAGGGGUUGCUGGAAUUCUUGGUGUAGCGGUGAAAUGCGUAGAUAUCAAGAGGAACACCAGAGGCGAAGGCGGGCAACUGGGCCAACACUGACGCUGAGGCGCGAAAGCUAGGGGAGCAAACAGG